Molecule: ribosomal RNA, 253 nt
Filed under: uncultured bacterium
Lineage: Bacteria
Description: partial 16S ribosomal RNA
Rfam family: Bacterial small subunit ribosomal RNA
Source: RNAcentral
UACGAAGGGGGCUAGCGUUGUUCGGAAUCACUGGGCGUAAAGCGCACGUAGGCGGCGCGUUAAGUCAGGGGUGAAAUCCUGGAGCUCAACUCCAGAACUGCCUUUGAUACUGGCGUGCUCGAGUGUGGGAGAGGUUGGUGGAACUCCGAGUGUAGAGGUGAAAUUCGUAGAUAUUCGUAAGAACACCAGUGGCGAAGGCGGCCAACUGUCCCAUUACUGACGCUGAGGUGCGAAAGCGUGGGGAGCAACCAGG